CCAGAUGGUUGGGUGAUCGCUCUUGUUCGCAAGGGAGGAAAGUCCGGGCUCCACGGAAACACGACGCCGGAUAACGUCCGGCGGAGGCGACUCUAGGGAAAGUGCCACAGAAAGCAAACCGCCGCGCAAGCGGUAAGGGUGAAAGGGUGCGGUAAGAGCGCACCGCACUGCCGGUAACGGCAGUGGCAGGGUAAACCCCGUCGGGAGCAAGACCAAAUAGGAGCAACGCAUGAUCUGUUUCCGGAUCGUUGCUCGGGUAGGUUGCAAGAGGUGUCUGGUAACAGGCAUCCCAGAUGAAUGGUCACCAGCACCUUUAGGGGUGUGUACAAAACCCGGCUUAUAGACCGUCUGGCCCA
RNAcentral lists this RNase P RNA (356 nucleotides) under Alphaproteobacteria bacterium. RNAcentral's name for it is "RNase P RNA component class A". It matches the Rfam family "Bacterial RNase P class A". From Rfam's summary of the family: Ribonuclease P (RNase P) is a ubiquitous endoribonuclease, found in archaea, bacteria and eukarya as well as chloroplasts and mitochondria. Its best characterised activity is the generation of mature 5'-ends of tRNAs by cleaving the 5'-leader elements of precursor-tRNAs. The record is from RNAcentral. Lineage: Bacteria; Pseudomonadati; Pseudomonadota; Alphaproteobacteria.